GAGUUUGAUCAUGGCUCAAGAUGAACGCUAGCGAUAGGCUUAACACAUGCAAGUCGAGGGGCAGCAUGGUCUUAGCUUGCUAAGACUGAUGGCGACCGGCGCACGGGUGCGUAACGCGUAUGCAACUUGCCUCACAGAGGGGGAAUAACCCGUCGAAAGACGGACUAAUACCGCGUACACUUAUUGGAGGGCAUCCUUCGGUAAGGAAAUGAAUUUCGCUGUGAGAUAGGCAUGCGUCCCAUUAGCUAGUUGGUGAGGUAACGGCUCACCAAGGCAACGAUGGGUAGGGGAACUGAGAGGUUGAACCCCCACACUGGUACUGAGACACGGACCAGACUCCUACGGGAGGCAGCAGUGAGGAAUAUUGGUCAAUGGGCGAGAGCCUGAACCAGCCAAGUCGCGUGAAGGAUGACUGUCUUAUGGAUUGUAAACUUCUUUUGUAGGGGAAUAAAGAGGGGCACGUGUGCCUCAGUGAAUGUACCCUACGAAUAAGCAUCGGCUAACUCCGUGCCAGCAGCCGCGGUAAUACGGAGGAUGCGAGCGUUAUCCGGAUUUAUUGGGUUUAAAGGGUGCGUAGGCGGCCUGUUAAGUCAGCGGUGAAAUCUAGGAGCUUAACUCCUAAAUUGCCAUUGAUACUGGCGGGCUUGAGUGUAGAUGAGGUAGGCGGAAUGCGUGGUGUAGCGGUGGAAUGCAUAGAUAUCACGCAGAACUCCGAUUGCGAAGGCAGCUUACUAAGGUACAACUGACGCUGAAGCACGAAAGCGUGGGUAUCAAACAGGAUUAGAUACCCUGGUAGUCCACGCAGUAAACGAUGAUAAACUGGGCGUAUGCGAUAUACAGUAUGCUCCUAAGCAAAGGCGUUAAGUUAUUCCACCUGGGGAGUACGCCGGCAACGGUGAAAACUCAAAGGAAAUUGACGGGGGCCCGCACAAGCGAAGGAACAUGUGGUUUAAUUCGAUGAUACGCGAGGAACCUUACCCGGGAUUAAAAUGUAGAUGACGGCCGGUGAAAAGUUCGGCUUUUCCUUUCGGGACAUCUAUGUAGGUGCUGCAUGGUUGUUCGUCAGCUCGUGCCGUGAGGUGUUCGGCUUAAGUGCCAUGACGAGCGCGAACCCCUGUUCUACGGUUGCCAUCAGGUGAUGCUGGAAACUCCGUAGAGACUGCCGUUCGUAAGGCGUGAGAAAGGUGGGGAAUGAACGUCGAAUUCGGCGCGGCCCUUACGUUCCGGGGCGACGCGCGUGUUGACGAAUGGUGGGAACGAAGAGGCGGCUACCUGAGCGACGGGAUGCGAGUCUCCGAGCUCCCGUUCGCGGUUUCGAUUUCGGAGUCUGCGCCUCGGCCCGUGAGGGCUGAUUUCGCGUAGGAUUCGCGCGCCGAGCCGUGGCGGCGGUUAUGACGUUUCCCGGCCCUUGGCCGCGCCGCCCG
RNAcentral lists this ribosomal RNA (1424 nucleotides) under uncultured bacterium. RNAcentral describes it as "partial 16S ribosomal RNA". It matches the Rfam family "Bacterial small subunit ribosomal RNA". The record is from RNAcentral.